AGGCGGGACUCGGCCGAGAACCAGACCUGGCUCUCAUCUACCUACCACUUUGGACAGUUCUCCCCUGGAAGGGUCUGGCCCCAAGAGUUAGCCAUACCCUGGAACUGGCCUGGUCUGCGUGUCUUCCCAGCAGGGGAGGACUCCACAGACGGCGUCCAAGUGGGUAGGCAAGUCACAGCCGCCAUAGCAGAUGACUCCUAUUUAUUUUGCAUUAAGAUUUUAAUUUGUAUAUUUUUGUGAUUUAUUUUGGCAUUGUUAUGAGUUUGACUCUCGGGGAGUUUUGUUGUUAUGACUCUUGUGUCUUUUGUCACAAAACAAUGAUAAUAUUUGCUAAACAAUAUAUGGAAUUUAUUUUUGAUUGGUAAUAAAAAAUGAAAUGCACAUAC
Molecule: long non-coding RNA, 386 nt
Filed under: Rattus norvegicus (Norway rat)
Lineage: Eukaryota; Metazoa; Chordata; Mammalia; Rodentia; Muridae
Description: long non-coding RNA NONRATT029315
Source: RNAcentral